CGCUCCCUGGUCUGUUUGCGAGCCACAACGUCCCUGAGCCGAUAAUUGAAGCAUCGGCGGCUCCUCGUUAAUACUGGCGUGCAGGUCCACCCCGUAGUGGAAAGCCCAAUGUAUUACAGCAGUCUCCACCUUGAGCCAUGGGUUCAAGGGCCUCUAUGGCCGCGGCAAACCGGGGAGUCU
RNAcentral lists this non-coding RNA (180 nucleotides) under Simiduia agarivorans. Its description in RNAcentral is "6S RNA". It matches the Rfam family "6S / SsrS RNA". From Rfam's summary of the family: E. coli 6S RNA was the first non coding RNA to be sequenced, but its function was unknown until recently. Lineage: Bacteria; Pseudomonadati; Pseudomonadota; Gammaproteobacteria; Cellvibrionales; Cellvibrionaceae. The record is from RNAcentral. RNAcentral also lists the same sequence under 2 other names.